RNAcentral lists this ribosomal RNA (465 nucleotides) under uncultured Klebsiella sp. RNAcentral describes it as "bacterial SSU rRNA". It matches the Rfam family "Bacterial small subunit ribosomal RNA", at positions 338 to 795 of the family's 1533-position model. Lineage: Bacteria; Pseudomonadati; Pseudomonadota; Gammaproteobacteria; Enterobacterales; Enterobacteriaceae. The record is from RNAcentral.
CCUACGGGUGGCAGCAGUGGGGAAUAUUGCACAAUGGGCGCAAGCCUGAUGCAGCCAUGCCGCGUGUGUGAAGAAGGCCUUCGGGUUGUAAAGCACUUUCAGCGGGGAGGAAGGCGAGUAGGUUAAUAACCUCAUCGAUUGACGUUACCCGCAGAAGAAGCACCGGCUAACUCCGUGCCAGCAGCCGCGGUAAUACGGAGGGUGCAAGCGUUAAUCGGAAUUACUGGGCGUAAAGCGCACGCAGGCGGUCCGUCAAGUCGGAUGUGAAAGCCCCGGGCUCAACCUGGGAACUGCAUUCGAAACUGGCAGGCUAGAGUCUUGUAGAGGGGGGUAGAAUUCCAGGUGUAGCGGUGAAAUGCGUAGAGAUAUGGAGGAAUACCGGAGGCGAAGGCGGCCCCCUGGACAAAGACUGACGCUCAGGUGCGAAAGCGUGGGGAGCAAACAGGAUUAGAUACCCGAGUAGUC